This 425-nucleotide ribosomal RNA is filed under the name uncultured bacterium. RNAcentral describes it as "partial 16S ribosomal RNA". It matches the Rfam family "Bacterial small subunit ribosomal RNA", at positions 354 to 796 of the family's 1533-position model. The record is from RNAcentral.
GUGGGGAAUAUUGGACAAUGGGCGCAAGCCUGAUCCAGCCAUGCCGCGUGAGUGAUGAAGGCCUUAGGGUUGUAAAGCUCUUUCAGUGGGGACGAUAAUGACGGUACCCACAGAAGAAGCCCCGGCUAACUUCGUGCCAGCAGCCGCGGUAAUACGAAGGGGGCUAGCGUUGUUCGGAUUUACUGGGCGUAAAGCGCACGUAGGCGGAUUGUUAAGUCGAGGGUGAAAUCCCAGGGCUCAACCCUGGAACUGCCUUCGAUACUGGCAAUCUUGAGUCCGGAAGAGGUGAGUGGAACUCCUAGUGUAGAGGUGGAAUUCGUAGAUAUUAGGAAGAACACCAGUGGCGAAGGCGGCUCACUGGUCCGGUACUGACGCUGAGGUGCGAAAGCGUGGGGAGCAAACAGGAUUAGAAACCCCGGUAGUCC